RNAcentral lists this unclassified non-coding RNA (593 nucleotides) under Bombus terrestris (buff-tailed bumblebee). Its description in RNAcentral is "misc RNA ENSBTSG00005025223.1". The record is from RNAcentral. Lineage: Eukaryota; Metazoa; Arthropoda; Insecta; Hymenoptera; Apidae.
UUAAAAAAGAAGUCUGUAUAUAUAUUUUAUUAUGCAUUGUACUUACUUCUAAUUCUAUUUUGUCAGUACCGAUAGGCAAGGGGUCCCUUGUAUAUAAAUUAUUUCUGCCAUCGAAUACGGGUUUAAGAGUUCCAAAUAUUUUACUAUAUGCAUGAACCAUUGUUUCUAUUAUUUCCCUAUUAACUUUACGAGGACAUUUAUCAGGUUGGAUAUUAAUAUCAUAAUGGUGCACAUAACCACGUGGCAUUGUUAUUUGGAAGUGAUUAGCUCUUAAGGUAAUUUGUCUGCCUUCACGUCCUAUGUUUGGUCUUCGAGGACAUGAAAACACUGCAAAUUUGGCAGUUCAGGAGGUUGAGGAGGAGUGUGUGUUUGUUGUGUGGAAACAAGUCCUAAAGAACCUGGAGCUACAACAUUACUGCCAGUUGCUCCAGAUGCACCAACAGAAGAACUUGUUGUGGGUCCAGGUGGAGGAGCUGAAAUAAUGUAGUAAACUAAUAUAUUUUUCAUACAUAUCUAAUGCAUGUAAAUGAAUAUAUAAAUAAUUAUUUCUAUAUAUUUAUCCUAACAGUUACAAAUACAUGUAACAAAAUAAU